RNAcentral lists this ribosomal RNA (448 nucleotides) under uncultured bacterium. RNAcentral describes it as "SSU rRNA". It matches the Rfam family "Bacterial small subunit ribosomal RNA", at positions 26 to 518 of the family's 1533-position model. The record is from RNAcentral.
AGAGCGAACGCUGGCGGCAGGCUUAACACAUGCAAGUCGAGCGGGCGUAGCAAUACGUCAGCGGCAGACGGGUGAGUAACGCGUGGGAACAUACCUUUUGGUUCGGAACAACACAGGGAAACUUGUGCUAAUACCGGAUAAGCCCUUACGGGGAAAGAUUUAUCGCCGAAAGAUUGGCCCGCGUCUGAUUAGCUAGUUGGUGAGGUAACGGCUCACCAAGGCGACGAUCAGUAGCUGGUCUGAGAGGAUGAUCAGCCUCACUGGGACUGAGACACGGCCCAGACUCCUACGGGAGGCAGCAGUGGGGAAUAUUGGACAAUGGGCGCAAGCCUGAUCCAGCCAUGCCGCGUGGGUGAUGAAGGCCCUAGGGUUGUAAAGCCCUUUCGGCGGGGAAGAUAAUGACGGUACCCGCAGAAGAAGCCCCGGCUAACUUCGUGCCAGCAGCCGC